Molecule: long non-coding RNA, 718 nt
Organism: Labrus mixtus (cuckoo wrasse)
Lineage: Eukaryota; Metazoa; Chordata; Actinopteri; Labriformes; Labridae
Exons: 6
Source: RefSeq, a predicted model, not a curated record
CAAACAGAUUCAGUACCAUCCGAGCAAUCUUCAACUCCUCCCUGAGCGAGCAAGCUUCCUGCCUGAGAAACUGCAUCUCUGCCUCUCUCGCCCUCAGAAUCACCUGCCACAAAUGAGAAAAGCAGGCGCUCAUGGGUCAGCUGAGAGUUUUCCAGACAUUUCUGAGUGUGCUGAACCGACAACGUCUCGAGCUCCUUCUGCAACACCUCCAGCUCCUCCCUGCAGGGGGCGGAGCAAAACAACAAACAUACAGACGAUGGUUUACCUGCCAUCGUGGCGGCCGACUCCUCCUGCAGCAGCUGGUCUUUCUCCUUCAGUAGAGCGUCCACCUCCUGCUGAUGCUGCUGCUGCAGGUCACCCAUCAGCUGUCUGUGCGUCUCCUCCAAAGCGGUGAUGCUUUCAUCAGAUGGGGCCUACAUUCAAAUGACAAAUCAUUCUUCUGCUGAGAUUUCUGCAGAGCGUCAGACUUAUGUGAGUGUGGCUGCUGCUCUGUCACAGAGCUGUGGGAACACCAGAGACAGGACUGGGCCUCACAUUCUUCAACACGGCGUGGACCAGGUUACGUCUCAUCCCAGAGGUCAUUGCACAGAUGCUGAUGACAUUCAGAGGUGGAGACCAGCGAGGACGAGGACUCUGCAGGCUCAGAGGAGCUGCGUGUUUUCAUCUUCUCAGCAUCGUCACCGUGACACAGGUCGCUGUUAGUCCUUCAAAGACAGAG